Molecule: ribosomal RNA, 117 nt
Organism: Sinocyclocheilus rhinocerous
Lineage: Eukaryota; Metazoa; Chordata; Actinopteri; Cypriniformes; Cyprinidae
Source: Ensembl
AGCCACAGCCAUAUCACCCUGCAGCCCAAGACUGGUUGCCCACUGAAGCUAAGCAGGGUUGAGCCUGGUCAGUACCUGGAUGGGAGACCUCCUGGUAAAACUAGGUUGUUGUUGGUA